UACGGAGGGGGCUAGCGUUGUUCGGAAUUACUGGGCGUAAAGCGCGCGUAGGCGGACCUGCAAGUCGGGGGUGAAAGCCCGAGGCUUAACCUCGGAACUGCCUUCGAUACUGCGGGUCUCGAGUCCGGGAGAGGUGAGUGGAAUUCCUAGUGUAGAGGUGAAAUUCGUAGAGAUUAGGAAGAACACCAGUGGCGAAGGCGGCUCACUGGCCUGGUACUGACGCUGAGGCGCGAAAGAGUGGGGAGCAAACAGG
Molecule: ribosomal RNA, 253 nt
Filed under: uncultured bacterium
Lineage: Bacteria
Description: partial 16S ribosomal RNA
Rfam family: Bacterial small subunit ribosomal RNA
Source: RNAcentral